GGGUUGGGUUUGGGGCGAGUCAGAGGCAAGUUAAAUACACAUAAUACAUAAUACAUAAUUAUUAAUAAGAAUUAUUGUGGUAAUAAUGAGACUUAUUCAUGUUUCUUUUUUAUUUAUUUUUAUUAUAACAAAUUUAUAUUACAUAAAAGGAAACACUGUGGUGCAUGUGGAACAUGCAACAAGAAAUUUCAUGUACAGGAAACACCUUCAUGUUAAACACUAAGUACAGUACUUCAUGUAUAUAACAUUAAGGUGUUUCUUACAUUCAGAAUUAUAAUUGUAAGUAGCAGACUGCUAUAAGUACCCCUCUGGAGGGAGUGAUAAAGUUUGAAAUCGCGGGUGUGCCCCUUUGUGCCUCCACAGCGCGAUUGUGCUGUUGAGAUUUAUUGUGCUGUGGUACGUCUUUUUUCCCAACGUGUCCGAUACUGAAAUCAGUGCGACAUACUUAGCAAAAAGCGUGGGAAUUGUUGAUGCAGCUUCGUGAUAAGAAGUUAAAUUCCUCCGUCCAGCUGUUGUUAUAUUUGCAGCUAUAUUUAGUUUUUUCGCCGUAGCAUCACCUGAGCUUUCUAAUGCCAGUUUUAGUGACGCUUGAUUCAAAUUCCCCCGUCUACCUGCGCAGAUAUCAACUGUGCAACAGAGCUGUAGGUUGCCAGGUUGAGGUCACAAAUGGGAUCAAAAUUGUAUGAUGUAUCUAUUGUGUGAGUAGGAUUCGUUUCAUACAAUAUUUGGCAGCUGGACAAUAAUGUAUUUAUGUGAUUAUUCAUAUUACGAGAUAGGGCCAUACAAAUUACUACGGGAGUUUUCCCGGGAGAAAUAACAAAACGGGAGGGGGGCGGGAGAUGGUUGUGAAAUACGGGAGACUCCCGGGAAAAACGGGAGUGUUGACAGGUAUGCUACCAGGCCAUAAGGAGACUGGUGGGGAACUGCCCAGCACUGAGGGGACGGACGAGGAUUCAGCUGUUUGAGGUCAAUCAGCAGAUGCUUUCUGUCUGGUACAACAACUACAGGAAGAAGAUGGAGGCAGAUGUGCUGGCUCUGAGUGUUCCCUUGCCUCAGAUCAGCAUGGUGUCUCACACUCAGCUUCCUGUCGCCAGGCAGAUGACAUCAAUGCCCUCUGCACCUGGGUCUUCGCUUAAACCUUUCCCCUACGUUGCAAAUCCUGAUCUGUCAGGUCAGGCCACACGACGUGGGCAGCGACCUCCUCCUCCUGCAUCAGCACCCGCUCUCUCUGCUCAACAGCCAGCGUCUCUCUCUGCUCCGCCGGCAGCAUCCCUCUCUGCUCCACCUCUGCCUACAUAAAGGACAUAUGAAGUGUCCUAAAUAAUUAUUACUACUAAAUAAUUAACUUUAUGUCUGUUCUUUAUUUGAGGACAUUUGUUUGCCAUCAUAGAGUUCAUGCAAACUGUCUUUAAAAUAUUUAUUCUUUAUUUUAGAACAUUUAAUGACUGUUCUUUUGUUUGAGAACAUUUAUUUGCCCUCUUAAAGGUUACAUUAAUAGAUCACAACCAUAUUUCAGGUUUAUCUGCCUUCAUUAAGGCCAUGUUAAUUGUCUUACAUGAUGGUUCUUUAUUUUAGAAUGUUUAUCUGCCUUCAUGUCAUUGUCUUAACCAUUUCUUUUAUUUGUGUAGCUUUUUUAAUUAUUCAUUAGCAUUCCAAUGUUCCUGUUUUCUAAAUAAAUUAUAUACACUUUUUA
Molecule: long non-coding RNA, 1693 nt
Organism: Cyprinus carpio (common carp)
Lineage: Eukaryota; Metazoa; Chordata; Actinopteri; Cypriniformes; Cyprinidae
Source: Ensembl